UACGUAGGUCCCGAGCGUUGUCCGGAUUUAUUGGGCGUAAAGCGAGCGCAGGUGGUUUAUUAAGUCUGGUGUAAAAGGCAGUGGCUCAACCAUUGUGUGCAUUGGAAACUGUUAGACUUGAGUGCAGUAGAGGAGAGUGGAAUUCCAGGUGUAGCGGUGAAAUGCGUAGAUAUAUGGAGGAACACCGGUGGCGAAAGCGGCUCUCUGGACUGUAACUGACACUGAGGCUCGAAAGCGUGGGUAGCAAACAGG
RNAcentral lists this ribosomal RNA (252 nucleotides) under uncultured microorganism. RNAcentral describes it as "partial 16S ribosomal RNA". It matches the Rfam family "Bacterial small subunit ribosomal RNA", at positions 524 to 776 of the family's 1533-position model. The record is from RNAcentral.